RNAcentral lists this ribosomal RNA (434 nucleotides) under uncultured bacterium. Its description in RNAcentral is "bacterial SSU rRNA". It matches the Rfam family "Bacterial small subunit ribosomal RNA", at positions 351 to 782 of the family's 1533-position model. The record is from RNAcentral.
GCAGUAGGGAAUAUUGGGCAAUGGGCGAGAGCCUGACCCAGCCAUGCCGCGUGCAGGAAGAAGGCUUUCUGAGUCGUAAACUGCUUUUGACAGGGAAGAAUAAGCACUACGUGUAGUGCGAUGACGGUACCUGCAGAAUAAGCACCGGCUAACUCCGUGCCAGCAGCCGCGGUAAUACGGAGGGUGCGAGCGUUGUCCGGAUUUAUUGGGUUUAAAGGGUGCGUAGGCGGCCGUUUAAGUCUGGGGUGAAAGCCCGCUGCUCAACAGCGGAACUGCCCUGGAUACUGGAUGGCUUGAGUACAGACGAGGUUGGCGGAAUGGACAGAGUAGCGGUGAAAUGCAUAGAUACUGUCCAGAACCCCGAUUGCGAAGGCAGCUGACUAGGCUGUUACUGACGCUGAGGCACGAAAGCGUGGGGAGCGAACAGGAUUAGA